This is a regulatory RNA element of Clostridium baratii str. Sullivan, 86 nucleotides long. It matches the Rfam family "NiCo (Nickel/Cobalt) riboswitch aptamer". Lineage: Bacteria; Bacillati; Bacillota; Clostridia; Eubacteriales; Clostridiaceae. The record is from Rfam.
ACAGUACAAACUGAUCAGGCCGUUAAAUAUGUAUUUAUGGAGCCGGGCCGAAAGGCAACAGGAUUAUUAAAACCUGUGGGACAGUA